RNAcentral lists this ribosomal RNA (481 nucleotides) under uncultured bacterium. RNAcentral's name for it is "bacterial SSU rRNA". It matches the Rfam family "Bacterial small subunit ribosomal RNA", at positions 32 to 507 of the family's 1533-position model. The record is from RNAcentral.
AACGCUGGCGGCGUGGAUUAGGCAUGCAAGUCGAACGGUAUCAUCCUUCGGGGGUGAGAGAGUGGCGAACUGGUGAGUAACACGUAGGUUAUCUACCUCAAGACGGGGACAACCCAGGGAAACUUGGGCUAAUACCGGAUGUGAGCAACUUUUAGUUGUUUGAAAGGUGGCGUAAGCUGUCGCUUGGGGAUGAGCCUGCGUCCUAUUAGUUAGUUGGUGAGGUAACGGCUCACCUAGGCAAUGAUAGGUAGGCGGCCUUAACGGGUGGUCGCCCACACUGGGAUUGAGAUACGGCCCAGACUCCUACGGGAGGCAGCAGUCGAGAAUAGUCUACAAUGGUCGGAAGACUGAUAGUGCGACGCCGCGUGAACGAUGAAUCCCUUCGGGGUGUAAAGUUCUUUUAUAUGUGAGCAGUGCUUCUUAUAUUAACAGUAUGGGGAGAGAGAUAUUAGCAUAUGAAUAAGCAACGGCUAACUCCGUG